This is a non-coding RNA of Podarcis lilfordi (Lilford's wall lizard), 66 nucleotides long. Lineage: Eukaryota; Metazoa; Chordata; Lepidosauria; Squamata; Lacertidae. The record is from the annotation of a GenBank genome assembly.
GCUGGAAAGCUCAGUGGGUAGAGCACGAGGCUGUUAGGGUCGUGGGUUCGAGCCCCACACUGGGCA